AUGAACGCUGCAGCCAGUAGCUACCCCAUAGCCUCCUUAUACGUGGGCGAUUUGCACUCGGACGUCACAGAAGCCAUGCUGUAUGAAAAGUUCAGCCCUGCGGGGGCCUGUGCUGUCCAUCCGGGUCUGUUGCGAUAUGAUCACCCGGCGCUCUCUGGGUUAUGCCUACAUCAACUUCCAGCAGCCAGCUGACGCUGAGAGGGCUUUGGACACCAUGAACUUCGACGUCAUAAAGGGAAAGCCAAUCCGCAUCAUGUGGUCGCAGAGGGAUCCCUCUUUGAGAAAGUCUGGGGUGGGAAAUGUCUUCAUCAAGAACCUGGACAAGUCCAUAGACAACAAAGCACUGUAUGACAUUUUCUCUGCCUUUGGAAACAUCUUGUCUUGCAAGGUGGUCUGUGAUGAGAACAGCUCUAAGGGCUAUGCUUUUGUCCACUUCAAGACCCAAGAGGCCGCUGAAGGCCAUCGAGAAGAUGAAUGGCAUGCUUCUCAAUGAUCGUAAAGUGUUUGUGGGUAGAUUCAAGUCCCGCGAAGAGCGGGAAGCGGAGCUUGGAGCCAAGGCCAAGGAAUUCACCAAUGUUUAUAUCAAAAACUUCGGAGAAGAGAUGGAUGAUGGGAAUUUGAAAGAGCUCUUCAGCCAGUUUGGUAAGAUCCUAAGUGUCAAGGUGAUGAGAGACUCCAGUGGGAAGUCCAAAGGCUUUGGCUUUGUAAGUUACGAGAAACAUGAGGAUGCCAAAAAGGCUGUGGAAGAAAUGAAUGGGAAAGAAAUGAGCGGGAAAGCCAUAUUUGUGGGCCGAGCACAGAAAAAAUAGAAAGGCAGGCUGAGUUAAAACAGAAGUUUGAGCAGCUGAAGCAGGAGAGGAUUAGCCGGUACCAGGGAGUGAAUCUCUACAUUAAGAACUUGGAUGACACCAUUGAUGAUGAGAAAUUAAGGAAAGAGUUUUCUCCUUUAGGAUCAAUCACCAGUGCGAACGUGAUGCUAGAAGAUGGAAGAAAGGGUUUGGCUUUGUCUGUUUCUCAUCUCCUGAAGAGGCGACCAAAGCUGUCACGGAAAUGAACGCACGCAUUGUGGGCUCCAAGCCUCUCUACGUCGCCCUGGCCCAGAAGAAGGAAGAGCAGAAGGCUCAUCUUGGCAGGAAUGAGGGCGCUGCCUGCCAGUGCCGUCUUCAAUCAGUUCCAGCCUGCCUGCGACUGGUGGCUACUUAGUGCCCAAAGUUCCGAAGGCUCAGGAAGACCUCCAUAUUACACACCUAACCAGUUAGCACAGAUGAGGCCUAAUCCACGCUGGCAGCAAGGCGGGAGACCUCAAGGCUUCCAAGGAAUGCCAAGUGCUCUGCAGCAGUCUGGGCCUCGGCCAGCUCUUCGACAUCUGGCUCCAACUGGGUCUGAGUGCCCGGACCGCUUGGCUAUGGACUUUGGUGGGACUGGUGCCGCCCAGUAAGGGUUGACUGACAGCUGCCAGUCUGGAGGCGUCCCUAUAGCUGUGCCACACCUUGCACCUCGGGCCGCAGUUGCUGCCGCCGCUCCCAGGGCGGUGGCUCUGUACAAGUAUGCCUCCAGUGUACGCAGCCCGCACCCUGCCCGCAGCACGCACCCUGCCAUCCAGCCGCUGCAGGCCCCCCAGCCUGCAGUCCACAUCCAGGGUCAGGAGCCCCUGACUGCCUCCAUGCUUGCUGCAGCUCCCCCACCCCCACCCCCAGCAGAAGCAGAUGCUGGGGGAGCAUCUGUUCCUGCUUAUCCAAACAAUGCAUUCAAACCUGGCUGGGAAAAUCACCGGGAUGCUGCUGGAAAUCUACAACUCUGAGCUACUGCACAUGCUGGAGUCCCCGAGUCCCUCCACUCCAAGGUGGAUGAAGCUGUGGCAGUCCUGCAGGCUCAUCAUGCCAAGAAAGAAGCUGCCCAGAGGGUGUGCACUGCUGCUGCUGCUACCUCUUAAACAGGAAAAAAAGAGUCGAAAGCCAAAUAACCCCUCAAAGCAUCCAGCUAAGGUCUGAAGACGUCCUAGUUUGUCUGUGGACCUCCACACCAAGAACCAAGUUGCAAAUUCAAUAGAUCAUUUUGUAUCAGAAGGUCAAUUAUGAAGCACCUAUAAUUUUUCAAUUAUAAGAAUAUAUUCUCUGGGUUCUGUUGUGACCCAGAUGAUAACUUUUUUUUCUAUUGUGGGUUCAGGUUUUUUUCCCUCAUCCCAGAAAUUGGUUUUUGAUGUACCCAAGACUUAAGUUUCUCAAAUAAAGGAAAUAAAAUCUC
Molecule: RNA transcript, 2244 nt
Organism: Mus pahari (shrew mouse)
Lineage: Eukaryota; Metazoa; Chordata; Mammalia; Rodentia; Muridae
Gene name: polyadenylate-binding protein 4 pseudogene
Exons: 1
Source: RefSeq, a predicted model, not a curated record